UAUGUAGAGGCGCGGUGAUUAUAAGUAUCACGUAUGAUGAGACUGACUCAGAUGAAGAUGUGAGAAAGGAUGAACCGCCGAAGUUCCGGAUAUUCAGUGUAUUCGGUGCUGGGGCUGCAGAUAACAUCUGCAGGACUGUCACUUUAAGUGAUGAGCUAUUCUUGAUGUAGCGUCAUCACAACUAGUGGAGAGCUACGGUU
This 200-nucleotide non-coding RNA is filed under the name uncultured Eubacterium sp. RNAcentral describes it as "Lysine riboswitch". The stretch from base 1 to 166 matches the Rfam family "Lysine riboswitch aptamer". From Rfam's summary of the family: Riboswitches are metabolite binding domains within certain messenger RNAs that serve as precision sensors for their corresponding targets. Allosteric rearrangement of mRNA structure is mediated by ligand binding, and this results in modulation of gene expression. The record is from RNAcentral. Lineage: Bacteria; Bacillati; Bacillota; Clostridia; Eubacteriales; Eubacteriaceae.